UGGGGAAUAUUGGACAAUGGGCGAAAGCCUGAUCCAGCCAUGCCGCGUGUGUGAAGAAGGUCUUCGGAUUGUAAAGCACUUUAAGUUGGGAGGAAGGGCAUUAAGCGAAUACCUUGCUGUUUUGACGUUACCGACAGAAUAAGCACCUGCUAACUCUGUGCCAGCAGCCGCGGUAAUACAGAGGGUGCAAGCGUUAAUCGGAAUUACUGGGCGUAAAGCGCGCGUAGGUGGUUCGUUAAGUUGAAUGUGAAAGCCCCGGGCUCAACCUGGGAACUGCAUCCAAAACUGGGGAGCUAGAGUAGGGCAGAGGGGGGUGGAAUUUCCUGUGUAGCGGUGAAAUGCGUAGAUAUAGGAAGGAACACCAGUGGCGAAGGCGACCACCUGGGCUCAUACUGACACUGAGGUGCGAAAGCGUGGGGAGCAAACAGG
RNAcentral lists this ribosomal RNA (429 nucleotides) under Pseudomonadota bacterium. RNAcentral describes it as "Proteobacteria bacterium partial 16S ribosomal RNA". It matches the Rfam family "Bacterial small subunit ribosomal RNA", at positions 355 to 776 of the family's 1533-position model. The record is from RNAcentral. Lineage: Bacteria; Pseudomonadati; Pseudomonadota.